This 198-nucleotide ribosomal RNA is filed under the name Streptomyces parvus. RNAcentral's name for it is "partial 23S ribosomal RNA". It matches the Rfam family "Bacterial large subunit ribosomal RNA", at positions 2735 to 2925 of the family's 2925-position model. The record is from RNAcentral. Lineage: Bacteria; Bacillati; Actinomycetota; Actinomycetes; Kitasatosporales; Streptomycetaceae.
GCAUGGCUGGUUGGCUACGUUCGGAAAGGAUAACCGCUGAAAGCAUCUAAGCGGGAAGCCUGCUUCGAGAUGAGUAUUCCCACCCCCUUUGAGGGGUUAAGGCUCCCAGUAGACGACUGGGUUGAUAGGCCAGAUGUGGAAGCCCGGUAACGGGUGGAGCUGACUGGUACUAAUAGGCCGAGGGCUUGUCCUCAGUUG